UUCUUGGUUGGAGGCUCUAACGACAUACCAGCGAUCAAGACGAAAGUGCUACUGGGGGUAGUGGAUGUAACAGCACAAUAUAGGUGGCGAAGCUAGUGCCUAUUCCAUGAACGACUGGCGGGU
Molecule: non-coding RNA, 123 nt
Filed under: unclassified sequences
Description: Betaproteobacteria-1 RNA
Rfam family: Betaproteobacteria-1 RNA
Source: Rfam by way of RNAcentral